RNAcentral lists this ribosomal RNA (935 nucleotides) under uncultured archaeon. Its description in RNAcentral is "bacterial SSU rRNA". It matches the Rfam family "Archaeal small subunit ribosomal RNA", at positions 1 to 922 of the family's 1478-position model. The record is from RNAcentral.
UUCCGGUUGAUCCUGCCGGACCCGACUGCUAUUUGGGUGAGAAUAAGCCAUGCGAGUCGAAUGGGAUACCUAAACUUCCCAUGGCAAACUGCUCAGUAACACAUGAUCAACUUAACCUAUAGAGAAAAAUAAUCUCGGGAAACUGAGGAUAAUAUUUCAUAGUUGAAUCGGCUUGGAAAAGUUUUUCAACCAAAAGGAUAAGAAAAAUGGUUCUUAUUCGCUAUAGGAUAGGAUCGUGGACGAUUAUGGUUGUUGGUGAGGUAACGGCUCACCAAGCCGAUAAUCGAUAGGGGCCGUGAGAGCGGGAGCCCCGAGAUGGGUACUUAGACAACGACCCAGGCCUUACGAGGCGCAGCAGGCGCGGAACCUCCGCAAUACACGAAAGUGUGACGGGGUUACCCAAAGUGUUCAGUUUUGGACUGUGGUAGGUGAGUAAUGUUCCCUACUAGAAAGGAGAGGGCAAGGCUGGUGCCAGCCGCCGCGGUAAAACCAGCUCUUCAAGUGGUCGGGAUAAUUAUUGGGCUUAAAGUGUCCGUAGCCGGUUUAGUAAGUUCCUGGUAAAAUCGGGUAGCUUAACUAUCUAUAUGCUAGGAAUACUGCUAUACUAGAGGGCGGGAGAGGUCUGAGGUACUACAGGGGUAGGGGUGAAAUCUUAUAGUCCUUGUAGGACCACCAGUGGCGAAGGCGUCAGACUGGAACGCGCCUGACGGUGAGGGACGAAAGCCAGGGGAGCGAACCGGAUUAGAUACCCGGGUAGUCCUGGCCGUAAACGAUGCAUACUAGGUGAUGGUGUGGCCAUGAGCCGUAUCAGUGCCGUAGGGAAACCGUUAAGUGUGCCGCCUGGGAAGUACGGUCGCAAGGCUAAAACUUAAAGGAAUUGGCGGGGGAGCACCACAAGGGGUGAAGCCUGCGGUUCAAUUGGAUUCAACGCCGGG